CAGCCAUGCCAUGUGAUCUAUACCGACUACAGACCGACACCUUUGCAGCACUAUAUUUUUCCAGCGGGAGGUGAUGGAUUGCACCUUGUAGUUGAUGAAAAUGGAGAUUUUAGAGAAGAUAACUUCAACACUGCCAUGCAAGUACUGAGAGAUGCUGGUGAACUUUCCAAGGGUGAUCCAAAGGGACGUAAAGGAGGAACUAAAGGUCCAUCAAACGUAUUUAAAAUUGUGAAGAUGAUCAUGGAAAGGAAUUUUCAGCCUGUUAUCAUCUUCAGCUUCAGCAAGAAAGACUGUGAAGCAUAUGCUCUACAGAUGUCCAAGUUGGAUUUUAAUACAGGUAGGAGCACUUGCAAGGUUAAACAUUUUAUUUCUACAGAAAGGUAAGCGUUGCUGAAAGAGCUCUGUGAGUACAUGAGAGAACUUCUUCCACCAUUCUCCUAAUUUCCUAGCUGUUGGCAUAUUGUUAAGUAACAGAGCUUAGUUAUGCAUAGUUUAUCUUUUCUUAAUUAGCACACAGUAAAGACAACAGGAUAAGUGAUGUGUCAUCAUUGUGGGAGAUGCCGGUGUGAUCCAGGGUAAACUUGUCUGCAUUAAGUGUGUGCAGUUUUUGGAUCUUCAGCUUAGUCAUGGAGUUGGAGGCUGACCAAACAAGGAGAGGAAAGUUACCUAGACCCUGUUCCAGGCAAUGGUCACAUUCCUUAGGCUAGUCAGAACUUCAGAGGUGAUCAAGUGUGAGGGAUACACGAGUGUGAUUGCCAUCAGGAGGUAUGGGCAGUCUGCAUGUCAUCGAGGCACCUCAGUCCCUUACUCUGUCCAACAUGUAUAAAGUGCUUGCUUCCUAUUUGGAUUAAGAACCGGGCAGGACGUGGACUGACUGAUGUGAAGGAUACCAUUCAAGUGCGGGGAACACAGAGGAAUGUGGUAGUUAAAGAAAUUAGUCCAAUCAGUGGAUAUAUACCGUUUUCUUCAGCUGUGACUUGGAGCUCUGAUGAUUGUGUUGCUCAUCUGAUGUCAGGGAUGUGGACAUUUCCUUAGAACUACAAAGAGAACUUCAAAGAGGGCAAUCCAGUUGCCAUGAUUUACAUGGGGAGCAAGAACAUAGCAGAGCAUUAUUCCUGCUUCUAUUAAAGGGAAUUUAAGAAAUUAAGGAAAAUCAAAGGUAUUAUUUCUGGCUUCUUGAAUGAGUCAUGCACCUGUUAACAUCGGUUCAAGCAUUUUAGAGAAUUUAACGUGCUCAAAGAAUGGUAUGAGGCUCAGGAAGUUUGGUUCAUGAAUACUUGGUGAAGAUUGGGUACUUCUAUUGGAAUGGACUGCAUCUAAACCAGGGUGGAACCUCUGUCCUGGCAAAUCAUACAACUAAGUCUGUGACAGGACUUCAAACAAAUGUGGGGUUGGGUCAGCUGUUGUGGAACGAUUCAGGUGAAGGAAGGUUUAGGAAACCAGAGAGUGGUUGAGGCGUCAGAACAAUAUAGCAAUGUGGGUAAAACCAAAGCGAGUGGGACAGGAAGGAUCAGAGUUCACCAAUCAGGUAAUUGCAGGGACACAAGUAAAAAGAUAAAAUUCAAGGCCCUUUCAACACGCAAGUCAUUGGCAAUAAGGUGGAUGAGCUAGUAAGGCUGUAGUAAUUUAAUCCCAACAGUAACUCUACCUUUGGAUGAAGCAUUAAACAAGAAAAGAUUGGAACUGAAAAUAAUUGUGACUAAUUAAGUGUCACAAGAAUCACUGUUGUACCGCAACUAUUUACAGUCUAUUUUAAUAACUUGGAUGAGGUGACUGUGUAAUGUAUCUAGCUUUAUUGAUGAUGGAAAGCUAGAACAUGGGAGCGCAGGACAAGGGAGCAAUAAUUUAGAAAUGAGAUGAGGAUAAACUUCUUCACUUGGAAUGUUGUGAAUCUUUGGAUUUUUAUACCCGAGAGAGUUAUGGAUACUUAAUUUUUGAGUUCAAUUAAGGAUCAGAUAGAAAGAUUUCUGGACUCUCAAUAAGUCAAGGGAGAUGGGGAGAGGUGAGAAAAUGGUGCUUGAGUGGAAGAACAACCAUGAUUGUGUUAAAUCACAGCUCAGGCCCAAGUGGCAGUAUGGCCUACUCCUGUUGUUUAAUGUUGCUUUGUUUGAUUGGCACCCCAUCCCAUUUGUGCAAAACUUUACUCCCUUCACCAUUGGGUGCACCGUGCAACAAUUCUUUUAAACACUGGAUGCUAUUCGGCAACUCACUGUGGCUUGUUUCAUAGCACCACUCAAGCCCACAACUUCCAUUAGAAGAAAAAAACAGAAAUUGCUUGAAAAGUUCAGCAGGUCUGGCAGCAUCUGUGAGAGAAAUCAGAGUUAACAUUUUGGGUUGAACGACCCUUCCUCAGAACUUGACUUCUGGCCACAGCUUCUAUUGUUUCAUGUACACAGUCUUUAAGUUCCAUUACAAGAGGCUCCACCCUGAUUUGGACAUCUCUCAUUUUUAUUUCCAUUUUUGCUGAGUCUAAAUCUUGGACUGUACUGUCUUAACAAUAUUGGGAGCCUACCUUCACCACAUGGACAGCAACAGUUCAUCAUGUUGACAGCAAAUAGAUGUGGUCUUGGUAGAAUAAUGUCGAUGACCUUCUUUCUUGUGAGUAUUUACUUUUGUUCUUCAGUCUGUGCUGAAUGUUACUAAUUGAGC
This is a long non-coding RNA of Rhincodon typus (whale shark), 2649 nucleotides long. RefSeq lists it as uncharacterized. The record is from RefSeq and is a predicted model, not a curated record. The transcript is spliced from 3 exons. NCBI's taxonomy places the organism in Eukaryota, Metazoa, Chordata, Chondrichthyes, Orectolobiformes, Rhincodontidae.